CACGCAGGCGGUCAAUUAAGUCAGAUGUGAAAGCCCCGAGCUUAACUUGGGAAUUGCAUCUGAAACUGGUUGGCUAGAGUCUUGUAGAGGGGGGUAGAAUUCCAUGUGUAGCGGUGAAAUGCGUAGAGAUGUGGAGGAAUACCGGUGGCGAAGGCGGCCCCCUGGACAAAGACUGACGCUCAGGUGCGAAAGCGUGGGGAGCGAACA
This 207-nucleotide ribosomal RNA is filed under the name uncultured bacterium. RNAcentral describes it as "partial 16S ribosomal RNA". It matches the Rfam family "Bacterial small subunit ribosomal RNA", at positions 568 to 774 of the family's 1533-position model. The record is from RNAcentral.